RNAcentral lists this ribosomal RNA (429 nucleotides) under uncultured bacterium. RNAcentral's name for it is "partial 16S ribosomal RNA". It matches the Rfam family "Bacterial small subunit ribosomal RNA", at positions 338 to 795 of the family's 1533-position model. The record is from RNAcentral.
CCUACGGGAGGCAGCAGUGGGGAAUAUUGGACAAUGGGCGAAACCUGAUCCAGCCAUGCCGCGUGUGUGAAGAGGUCUUCGGAUUGUAAGCACUUUAAGUUGGGAGGCGUUACCGACAGAAUAAGCACCGGCUAACUCUGUGCCAGCAGCCGCGGUAAUACAGAGGGUGCAAGCGUUAAUCGGAAUUACUGGGCGUAAAGCGCGCGUAGGUGGUUUGUUAAGUUGAAUGUGAAAUCCCCGGGCUCAACCUGGGAACUGCAUCCAAAACUGGCAAGCUAGAGUAUGGUAGAGGGUAGUGGAAUUUCCUGUGUAGCGGUGAAAUGCGUAGAUAUAGGAAGGAACACCAGUGGCGAAGGCGACUACCUGGACUGAACUGACACUGAGGUGCGAAAGCGUGGGGAGCAAACAGGAUUAGAUACCCUUGUAGUC